AUACAAGAUGGGGAUGUCAAUACCAAAACAUGUGCUACUUGACUUUCUUCGCUAUUUUUAAUAAAAUAAUUUUUUAUUAUAAUUAUUAAAUUAUUUAUUUUUUAUGGUCUGAUCAUUGAUAUUUAACUCAUAUAGAAUGUUUUAUUUGUCCCUCUUUUGCACCACAAAUAUUAUUAAUUAGUUUGUUACCGAAUAUAUCAUUAUUAGUACAUCUAACUGACCUUUGACCACAUGGUAAUAUCAAAAAGGAUUAGCAUGUUUUCGAUCUGAUAAUGAAGUAUUAAAUGACUUCAGGGGC
RNAcentral lists this long non-coding RNA (298 nucleotides) under Elaeis guineensis (African oil palm). Its description in RNAcentral is "long non-coding RNA (EGUI_LNC026187)". Lineage: Eukaryota; Viridiplantae; Streptophyta; Magnoliopsida; Arecales; Arecaceae. The record is from RNAcentral.